This 253-nucleotide ribosomal RNA is filed under the name uncultured bacterium. RNAcentral's name for it is "partial 16S ribosomal RNA". It matches the Rfam family "Bacterial small subunit ribosomal RNA", at positions 524 to 776 of the family's 1533-position model. The record is from RNAcentral.
UACGUAGGUGGCGAGCGUUGUCCGGAUUUACUGGGCGUAAAGAGCGCGCAGGCGGUCGUACAAGUCGGGUGUGAAAGCCCCCGGCUCAACUGGGGAGGGUCACGCGAUACUGGUCGACUCGAAGGCAGGAGAGGGAAGUGGAAUUCCCGGUGUAGUGGUGAAAUGCGUAGAUAUCGGGAGGAACACCAGUGGCGAAGGCGACUUCCUGGCCUGUUCUUGACGCUGAGGCGCGAAAGCUAGGGUAGCAAACGGG